Molecule: ribosomal RNA, 301 nt
Filed under: uncultured bacterium
Lineage: Bacteria
Description: partial 16S ribosomal RNA
Rfam family: Bacterial small subunit ribosomal RNA
Source: RNAcentral
CAGUCGCCGCGGUAAUACGGAGGGAGCUAGCGUUAUUCGGAAUUACUGGGCGUAAAGCGCACGUAGGCGGCUUUGUAAGUAAGAGGUGAAAGCCCGGAGCUCAACUCCGGAACUGCCUUUUAGACUGCAUCGCUUGAAUCCAGGAGAGGUGAGUGGAAUUCCGAGUGUAGAGGUGAAAUUCGUAGAUAUUCGGAAGAACACCAGUGGCGAAGGCGGCUCACUGGACUGGUAUUGACGCUGAGGUGCGAAAGCGUGGGGAGCAAACAGGAUUAGAGACCCCCGUAGUCCCUGUCUCUUAACA